CCCUUAGAUGUUCUGGGCCGCACGCGCGCUACACUGAUGCAUUCAACGAGCCUAUCCUUGACCGACAGGUCCGGGUAAUCUUUGAAUCUGCAUCGUGACGGGGAUAGAUUAUUGCAAUUAUUAAUCUUCAACGAGGAAUGCCUAGAAGGCGCAAGUCAUCAGCUUGCGUCGAUUACGUCCCUGCCCUUUGUACACACCGCCCGUCGCUCCUACCGAUUGGGUGUGCUGGUGAAAUGUUCGGAUCGGCCGUUUGUCGCGGUUUCCGCGUCAUGUGGCUGAGAAGUUCAUUAAACCCUCCCACCUAGAGGAAGGAGAAGUCGUAACA
RNAcentral lists this ribosomal RNA (325 nucleotides) under uncultured eukaryote. Its description in RNAcentral is "partial 18S ribosomal RNA". It matches the Rfam family "Eukaryotic small subunit ribosomal RNA", at positions 1470 to 1796 of the family's 1831-position model. The record is from RNAcentral.